GCCCGACUAGCUCACCGGUAGAGCGCCUCACUAGUACAUCUUCUUGGACAAUACGAGGAUACGGGAAGGACUGUACUGAAAUGAGGAGGCAACAGGUUCGACUCCUGUGUUGGGCA
Non-coding RNA from Annulohypoxylon moriforme, 116 nucleotides. Lineage: Eukaryota; Fungi; Ascomycota; Sordariomycetes; Xylariales; Hypoxylaceae. The record is from the annotation of a GenBank genome assembly.